AUGCUUAACACAUGCAAGUCGAACGGAAACGAUGGAAGCUUGCUUCCGGGCGUCGAGUGGCGGACGGGUGAGUAAUACUUGGGAAUCUGCCCAUUAGUUGGGGAAAACACGGGGAAACUCGUGCUAAUACCGAAUAAUCUCUACGGAGGAAAGGGGACCUCUAUUUAUAAGUUCUCGCUAAUGGAUGAGCCCAAGGAAGAUUAGCUAGUUGGUAAGGUAAUGGCUUACCAAGGCUACGAUCUUUAGCUGGUCUUAGAGGAUGAUCAGCCACACUGGGACUGAGACACGGCCCAGACUCCUACGGGAGGCAGCAGUAGGGAAUAUUGCACAAUGGGGGAAACCCUGAUGCAGCAAUACCGCGUGUGUGAAGAAGGCUUUCGGGUUGUAAAGCACUUUCAAUAGAGAAGAAAAGCUUAGGGUUAAUACCUCUAAGUGUUGACGUUAUCUAUACAAGAAGCACCGGCUAAUUCCGUGCCAGCAGCCGCGGUAAUACGGAAGGUGCGAGCGUUAAUCGGAAUUACUGGGCGUAAAGAGUACGUAGGCUGUUAGAUAAGUCGGAUGUGAAAUCCCCGGGCUCAACCUGGGAACUGCAUCCGAAACUAUUUAACUAGAGUAUGGGAGAGGUAAGUAGAAUUUCCGGUGUAGCGGUGAAAUGCGUAGAUAUCGGAAGGAACACCAGUGG
This 682-nucleotide ribosomal RNA is filed under the name uncultured bacterium. Its description in RNAcentral is "bacterial SSU rRNA". It matches the Rfam family "Bacterial small subunit ribosomal RNA", at positions 44 to 715 of the family's 1533-position model. The record is from RNAcentral.